RNAcentral lists this ribosomal RNA (497 nucleotides) under uncultured bacterium. RNAcentral describes it as "partial 16S ribosomal RNA". It matches the Rfam family "Bacterial small subunit ribosomal RNA", at positions 28 to 507 of the family's 1533-position model. The record is from RNAcentral.
GAUGAACGCUGGCGGCGUGCCUAAUACAUGCAAGUCGAGCGAACGGACGAGAAGCUUGCUUCUCUGAUGUUAGCGGCGGACGGGUGAGUAACACGUGGAUAACCUACCUAUAAGACUGGGAUAACUUCGGGAAACCGGAGCUAAUACCGGAUGAUAUUUUGAACCGCAUGGUUCAAAAGUGAAAGACGGUCCUGCUGUCACUUAUAGAUGGAUCCGCGCUGCAUUAGCUAGUUGGUAAGGUAAUGGCUUACCAAGGCAACGAUGCAUAGCCGACCUGAGAGGGUGAUCGGCCACACUGGAACUGAGACACGGUCCAGACUCCUACGGGAGGCAGCAGUAGGGAAUCUUCCGCAAUGGGCGAAAGCCUGACGGAGCAACGCCGCGUGAGUGAUGAAGGUCUUCGGAUCGUAAAACUCUGUUAUUAGGGAAGAACAUAUGUGUAAGUAACUGUGCACAUCUUGACGGUACCUAAUCAGAAAGCCACGGCUAACUACGUG